This 434-nucleotide ribosomal RNA is filed under the name uncultured bacterium. RNAcentral describes it as "bacterial SSU rRNA". It matches the Rfam family "Bacterial small subunit ribosomal RNA", at positions 29 to 505 of the family's 1533-position model. The record is from RNAcentral.
AUGAACGCUGGCGGUCUGCUUAACACAUGCAAGUCGAACGGUUGUAGUAAUACGAUAGUGGCGGACGGGUGAGUAACGCGUGAGAAUCUACCAUAAGGUCUGGGACAACCAUUGGAAACGAUGGCUAAUACCGGAUAAGCCGUAGGGUAAAAGAUUAAUUGCCUUUUGAAGAGCUCGCGUCUGAUUAGCUAGUUGGUGAGGUAAAGGCUCACCAAGGCAUCGAUCAGUAGCUGGUCUGAGAGGAUGACCAGCCACACUGGGACUGAGACACGGCCCAGACUCCUACGGGAGGCAGCAGUGGGGAAUUUUCCGCAAUGGGCGAAAGCCUGACGGAGCAAGACCGCGUGAGGGAGGAAGGCUCUUGGGUUGUAAACCUCUUUUCUUGGGGAAGAACGCAAUGACGGUACCCAAGGAGUCAGCAUCGGCUAACUCCG